CCUACGGGUGGCAGCAGUGAGGAAUAUUGGUCAAUGGGCGGGAGCCUGAACCAGCCAAGCCGCGUGAGGGAAGAAGGUACAGCGUAUCGUAAACCUCUUUUAAGGGGGAAGAGCAGAAGACGGUACCCCUUGAAUAAGCCACGGCUAACUACGUGCCAGCAGCCGCGGUAAUACGUAGGUGGCAAGCGUUGUCCGGAUUUACUGGGUGUAAAGGGCGUGCAGCCGGAGAGACAAGUCAGAUGUGAAAUCCACGGGCUCAACCCGUGAACUGCAUUUGAAACUGUUUCCCUUGAGUGUCGGAGAGGUAAUCGGAAUUCCUAGUGUAGCGGUGAAAUGCGUAGAUAUUAGGAAGAACACCAGUGGCGAAGGCGGAUUACUGGACGAUAACUGACGGUGAGGCGCGAAAGCGUGGGGAGCAAACAGGAUUAGAUACCCGAGUAGUC
RNAcentral lists this ribosomal RNA (443 nucleotides) under uncultured bacterium. RNAcentral's name for it is "partial 16S ribosomal RNA". It matches the Rfam family "Bacterial small subunit ribosomal RNA", at positions 338 to 795 of the family's 1533-position model. The record is from RNAcentral.